AUAUAUUUAUUUCAACAGGAGCGGAAUGUAGAGAACAACGGGACUGACCAUUUCACAAUACCCGGGAUUCAUCAUGGCGACGAGGGAGACGACAUCUUACUCACAGAGGAACAGCUCGCAGCAGCUAACCUGAGCAGGCUGGAGGGGGAGGAAUUGCUCGAGAAACUGGGGGACACGAUGCUGACCCCGAGCAGCUGGCCGCCAUCCUCAACAGGAAGGCGAUCAACGAUGUCACCAGAUUCUGGCCUGAUGUCAACGGCUUCCCUCACAUUCCCUAUAC
Molecule: long non-coding RNA, 280 nt
Organism: Penaeus monodon (black tiger shrimp)
Lineage: Eukaryota; Metazoa; Arthropoda; Malacostraca; Decapoda; Penaeidae
Exons: 3
Source: RefSeq, a predicted model, not a curated record